This 253-nucleotide ribosomal RNA is filed under the name uncultured bacterium. RNAcentral's name for it is "partial 16S ribosomal RNA". It matches the Rfam family "Bacterial small subunit ribosomal RNA", at positions 524 to 776 of the family's 1533-position model. The record is from RNAcentral.
UACGUAGGGUGCAAGCGUUAAUCGGAAUUACUGGGCGUAAAGCGUGCGCAGGCGGUUGUGUAAGACAGAGGUGAAAUCCCCGGGCUCAACCUGGGAACUGCAUUUGUGACUGCACAGCUGGAGUGCGGCAGAGGGGGAUGGAAUUCCGCGUGUAGCAGUGAAAUGCGUAGAUAUGCGGAGGAACACCGAUGGCGAAGGCAAUCCCCUGGGCCUGCACUGACGCUCAUGCACGAAAGCGUGGGGAGCAAACAGG